Thamnophis elegans (Western terrestrial garter snake) is the source of this 299-nucleotide long non-coding RNA. RefSeq lists it as uncharacterized. NCBI's taxonomy places the organism in Eukaryota, Metazoa, Chordata, Lepidosauria, Squamata, Natricidae. The record is from RefSeq and is a predicted model, not a curated record. The transcript is spliced from 3 exons.
GACAAAAAUGAGGAUAGUAAGCAAAACCAAGGACAAGAGAAAACACUGAAUAAAGAUCGGGGACAGAAGCAAGAGCAGGAACAACAGAAACAAAACAAAAAAAAAGGCUGAAAGAUCCAAGUACUUAAGAGUGAACUUUGAGAGACAGCUUCAAAAUCAUCACUAAGCAAUGCUUGGCAAUCUGCAGCUAAUAAUAAAGAAAACGUCAAUGUUUGGAUCAAGUUAUUAAAUGAAUAUUUGAGCUAGUCUAUUAACUUUUAUUGAAGUGUGAUUUAGCCAAUUAAAAAUAUGCCCUUAUG